CAGCACCUCAAGUGGUCAGGAUGAUUAUUGGGCCUAAAGCAUCCGUAGCCGGCGCUGUAAGUUUUCGGUUAAAUCCAUACGCUCAACGUAUGGGCUGCCGGGAAUACUGCAAGGCUAGGGAGUGGGAGAGGUAGACGGUACUCGGUAGGAAGGGGUAAAAUCCUUUGAUCUAUUGAUGACCACCUGUGGCGAAGGCGGUCUACCAGAACACGUCCGACGGUGAGGGAUGAAAGCUGGGGGAGCAAACCGGAUUAGAGACCCGAGUAGUCC
Molecule: ribosomal RNA, 270 nt
Filed under: uncultured archaeon
Lineage: Archaea
Description: partial 16S ribosomal RNA
Rfam family: Archaeal small subunit ribosomal RNA
Source: RNAcentral